Molecule: ribosomal RNA, 429 nt
Filed under: Acidobacteriota bacterium
Lineage: Bacteria; Pseudomonadati; Acidobacteriota
Description: Acidobacteria bacterium partial 16S ribosomal RNA
Rfam family: Bacterial small subunit ribosomal RNA
Source: RNAcentral
UGGGGAAUUUUGGACAAUGGGGGAAACCCUGAUCCAGCCAUCCCGCGUGUGCGAUGAAGGCCUUCGGGUUGUAAAGCACUUUUGGCAGGAAAGAAACGUCAUGGGUUAAUACCCCGUGAAACUGACGGUACCUUCAGAAUAAGCACCGGCUAACUACGUGCCAGCAGCCGCGGUAAUACGUAGGGUGCAAGCGUUAAUCGGAAUUACUGGGCGUAAAGCGUGCGCAGGCGGUUCGGAAAGAAAGAUGUGAAAUCCCAGAGCUCAACUUUGGAACUGCAUUAUUAACUACCGGGCUAGAGUGUGUGAGAGGGAGGUGGAAUUCCGCGUGUAGCAGUGAAAUGCGUAGAUAUGAGGAGGAACACCGAUGGCGAAGGCAGCCUCCUGGGAUAACACGGACGCUCAUGCACGGAAGCGUGGGGAGCAAACAGG